UAUUUUUUUUUUUUUUAUUUAUUUUUCUUUAGUUCUUUAAUUUAAUUCCCAAUUUCGAAAUUUUAUUGUCUCCGAUUUUAUUUGACAAUUAGAUCAGGAGUCAGCUCUCGAGGUCAAUUGACCAAAUUGCCCCUCACCGGUUCGACCUGGUUUGCAAAUAAUUCAAUAUUUAUUCUGGAUCCCUGACCUAAUUAUUUGACUGGUUUAACAAUUCUUUUUCGUGAUUUUCUCUUUUUCACUGUGUUCGCAAUAGUCCUAAGCACCACGACGUCACAUUUUACGGUUUGAAAUUCGAGUUUAAAUCGACCUCGCAGUCCUUCCCGAGAAAGUCACCAAUCGCUGUGACUCUCGGCCCAUUUAACUUCUUAUGUUCUGUUUUUUUUAUUUAUACUAAACUAAUUAGCAAUUACUAAUUAUUUGUGUUCAGGGCUUAUCUAGUUGUCUUAAGUAUGGUUCUAAUCCCCUUAAUUGUC
Molecule: unclassified non-coding RNA, 473 nt
Filed under: Hevea brasiliensis (rubber tree)
Lineage: Eukaryota; Viridiplantae; Streptophyta; Magnoliopsida; Malpighiales; Euphorbiaceae
Source: RNAcentral